MicroRNA precursor from Chlorocebus sabaeus (green monkey), 84 nucleotides. The record is from Ensembl. NCBI's taxonomy places the organism in Eukaryota, Metazoa, Chordata, Mammalia, Primates, Cercopithecidae.
GACACCUGGGCCGGGCUGUAGAUCAGGUUUGCCCACUUGAUUGAGAAAGAUGUUCCAGUGAGGAACCCUGAUCUCUUAGCCCCA